UACGUAGGGUGCAAGCGUUGUCCGGAAUUAUUGGGCGUAAAGGGCUCGUAGGCGGUCCAUCGCGUCGGGAGUGAAAAACUGGGGCUCAACCCCAGUCCUGCUUCCGAUACGGGUGGACUAGAGGUAUGCAGGGGAGAACGGAAUUCCUGGUGUAGCGGUGAAAUGCGCAGAUAUCAGGAGGAACACCGGUGGCGAAGGCGGUUCUCUGGGCAUUACCUGACGCUGAGGAGCGAAAGCGUGGGGAGCAAACAGG
RNAcentral lists this ribosomal RNA (253 nucleotides) under uncultured bacterium. RNAcentral's name for it is "partial 16S ribosomal RNA". It matches the Rfam family "Bacterial small subunit ribosomal RNA", at positions 524 to 776 of the family's 1533-position model. The record is from RNAcentral.